AGCGAACGCUGGCGGCAGGCCUAACACAUGCAAGUCGAACGAACCUUUCGGGGUUAGUGGCGGACGGGUGAGUAACACGUGGGAACGUGCCUUUAGGUUCGGAAUAACUCAGGGAAACUUGUGCUAAUACCGAAUGUGCCCUUCGGGGGAAAGAUUUAUCGCCUUUAGAGCGGCCCGCGUCUGAUUAGCUAGUUGGUUGAGGUAAUGGCUCACCAAGGCGACGAUCAGUAGCUGGUCUGAGAGGAUGAUCAGCCACAUUGGGACUGAGACACGGCCCAAACUCCUACGGGAGGCAGCAGUGGGGAAUCUUGCGCAAUGGGCGAAAGCCUGACGCAGCCAUGCCGCGUGAAUGAUGAAGGUCUUAGGAUUGUAAAAUUCUUUCACCGGGGACGAUAAUGACGGUACCCGGAGAAGAAGGCCCGGCUAACUUCGUG
RNAcentral lists this ribosomal RNA (434 nucleotides) under uncultured bacterium. RNAcentral's name for it is "partial 16S ribosomal RNA". It matches the Rfam family "Bacterial small subunit ribosomal RNA", at positions 29 to 507 of the family's 1533-position model. The record is from RNAcentral.